CCGCGAAAGAAAUAACCACCCGGACAAACGGUUGUGCAGCCCACGAUGGGAAAUACACGCGCAGCACGCCUUGAAGAAGUCCAACUGCAUUGAAACACCGCCGCGCCCCAUCUUGCCUUCGCCUGCUCUCCCCGCAGAAGAAAAGCGCCGGCGCAGUUGCCAGCAACAUACUCCUAGGACGACGGACACGCUCGAGCCCUGAACUCGGGUAGGGGACCGGCGGGCGCCUGCUCCCUGGCCGCCAAUCUGCUCAUCAAGCGCCGCCUCCCAUCAUCCCCAACCGGAGGUGUGUAAUUUCGAACUGCACUCUGUCGAGGCCAGCGCAGGUCGAUAUUUGUCAUGGUCAGCCGCCGACACGCCGUGGUACAUCCGUGCACUGCUCGUCCAUCUUUCCAUGCGCGGCUGUCCCCUUUGCCGUUCCUCCGAGCGCCGCCGGCCUGCUUUGACGCCGAGAUCCUCUUUACACCCAUCCCUAUUUGUGCAUCAUAUCUGGGCCAUAGCUGCCACAUAAGAUGCGGAAGUUGGUCGUUUCCUGGCAGCUUCGUGGCUGUUUUGCUCCUGGUGACAGUCUGCUAUUGAACAAUCCCUCUCAUCAAUAUUAAUUGCUAUAGUUGGUGAAUCAGGAUUUCAGUUCACAUCUCACCCUUAGGAAUUUACUUCCAUCGUGGUACUGUUUUUUGUGUCUUUAAAUGGAAGUGAUCCCUUCAUUAUGCUUGUGGUUCAUCAUAGGAUCAUUUGUCUGUGACUCUGAAAUCAGCAAGUGGAAAGGCAUCCUAGCUUCUUGUCCAUCACCACUGUCACAACAGGAGAUUUGUCCAUUUUAAUGGGAGCAAGGAUACGAUUUCAUCUGAGAUGUCAGGAGCAUUGAUCUGGAUAUGGUUUGCCCGCUAAUGGCCAAGCUAGGCAGCUGUCCUAUAAGCCUUCUGAUUGCCAAUACAGGUUUCUUAAUUAUAAUAACUACACCGCCAAUGUGAAAAGUUAAUUUUAUGGUAUUACUAACUUUUAUCAUUUUGCUCUUAGUUUUCCUUACUCGUGAAAACAGUGUUAGCUAUACUGACCUUUGCGUGUUGUGAAAACUGUAGUUUGGUUGAUAUUCUGUCAAAUCUAUUCCUUGCACCGUAGCGUGUGGUCUUUAUGCUGUCAGCAUGUGCCGUCUUCUCAAAGACAUGCAUUGAAUUCUCUAUUUCAUCUGCCAAUGAUGUUUCUAAAUAGCUAGAGGUCAGAAAGAAGGCAGUUGUGUAACAUUAGGUUGGCUGAAGAGUUUAGGUCGAAGAAUGACCCUCGCCGCCACUCUCUACAUUAGUCGAAUUCCUUAAUACCCGCCGAGCAUCACAAAUGUUUUGAAACUGUUCAACAACGAUAGCGACGCUAAUGCGAUCCAUUGGGAUAGGUUGCAACUCAACGCGUUGGACACCAGAAAUGGUUGCUGCAAGUAAUACAAGGUUGCCUUGCCAGAGAAGAAUGACUACCAAUUGUAUAACAAUAUCACAUUGCUUGACAUCAACGGUGAUGAAGCUGAAGACAACAUUUGUGACGUUUGAUCAAGGGAAUUCAAAAGGCCUCCUAGACUAGAUCUAGGUGAAUAAUAAAUUAGUUUAACCCUUCCUUUCUGUCCAUGACAUCCAAUUUGCUUUACUGAAAUAUGCUUAGGAUAUUGGAAUCGUAAUUUUUUUGGAACAUAUAUAAAUUGUCAACCAAGAGCAUGUAUGCCCAAUACACUACGUACAUAUAUAUUUUUCUAUAAACGUGUAUUUUCACAUAGAUCA
This is a non-coding RNA of Lolium perenne, 1766 nucleotides long. NCBI's taxonomy places the organism in Eukaryota, Viridiplantae, Streptophyta, Magnoliopsida, Poales, Poaceae. The record is from RefSeq and is a predicted model, not a curated record.